GAUGAACGCUGGCGGUAUGCUUAACACAUGCAAGUCGAACGGACUCUUCGGAGUUAGUGGCGGACGGGUGAGUAACGCGUGAGAAUCUGGCUUUGGGUUCGGGACAACCACUGGAAACGGUGGCUAAUACCGGAUGUGCCGAGAGGUAAAAGAGAAAUUGCCUGAAGAUGAGCUCGCGUCUGAUUAGCUAGUUGGUGAGGUAAAGGCUCACCAAGGCAGCGAUCAGUAGCUGGUCUGAGAGGAUGACCAGCCACACUGGGACUGAGACACGGCCCAGACUCCUACGGGAGGCAGCAGUGGGGAAUUUUCCGCAAUGGGCGAAAGCCUGACGGAGCAAUACCGCGUGAGGGAAGAAGGCUCUUGGGUUGUAAACCUCUUUUCUUAGGGAAGAACAAAAUGACGGUACCUAAGGAAUCAGCAUCGGCUAACUCCGUA
This 435-nucleotide ribosomal RNA is filed under the name uncultured bacterium. Its description in RNAcentral is "partial 16S ribosomal RNA". It matches the Rfam family "Bacterial small subunit ribosomal RNA", at positions 28 to 507 of the family's 1533-position model. The record is from RNAcentral.